RNAcentral lists this ribosomal RNA (497 nucleotides) under uncultured bacterium. Its description in RNAcentral is "partial 16S ribosomal RNA". It matches the Rfam family "Bacterial small subunit ribosomal RNA", at positions 28 to 507 of the family's 1533-position model. The record is from RNAcentral.
GAUGAACGCUGGCGGCGUGCCUAAUACAUGCAAGUCGAGCGAACGGACGAGAAGCUUGCUUCUCUGAUGUUAGCGGCGGACGGGUGAGUAACACGUGGAUAACCUACCUAUAAGACUGGGAUAACUUCGGGAAACCGGAGCUAAUACCGGAUAAUAUUUUGAACCGCAUGGUUCAAAAGUGAAAGACGGUCUUGCUGUCACUUAUAGAUGGAUCCGCGCUGCAUUAGCUAGUUGGUAAGGUAACGGCUUACCAAGGCAACGAUGCAUAGCCGACCUGAGAGGGUGAUCGGCCACACUGGAACUGAGACACGGUCCAGACUCCUACGGGAGGCAGCAGCAGGGAAUCUUCCGCAAUGGGCGAAAGCCUGACGGAGCAACGCCGCGUGAGUGAUGAAGGUCUUCGGAUCGUAAAACUCUGUUAUUAGGGAAGAACAUAUGUGUAAGUAACUGUGCACAUCUUGACGGUACCUAAUCAGAAAGCCACGGCUAACUACGUG